GGGCGGGGCCAGGCAACCCCCGCCAGCCUCACCUGCGGUCCCAGGUGGCUACUCCCACACCGGCCUCGGACAAACAUCCCUUUGUCUGCCUGCCUCGCUAGAUCCCUCUGCCUUAACGGGGGGAGAUUUAGCCGUCCUCGAGAAGAGCCCGAGAGCAGCCGGCACUCCCUGCGGGGGCGUGUUUAUAGGAUCCCCCAGAUUCCGCUCAGUGGCUCAGGAGCGAAGGCUUCUCGCCCCUUAUCCCCCCCGACCCUAUGAAGGAGAAAAUUCGAAUCCCCAAACUCAAGUUGGGCGUAUAGAGAAGCCCCAGGUUCCGCUCCCUGCGCUCCCCAGUGCCUUCAUCCUAGGGACUGGCCUUCUCAGGAGCUGAGGAUGCGGAGGUUCCUACAAUACCGAUUUUUUUUCCCGUUUUCCCAAGUUUCUACACAUUCAGAGCCCAUCGGAUGCUUCCCUUCUCGGAAACUUUGCCUUGAGGGGGAUGACAUGGGAUUUUCUUCCCACAGAGUUGUGGAGUGGGGGAGGAAUGGGGACAUCACACAGCCCAGACCUCUCUCUGCUCUACCACCACCACUGCUGGGUACUAAGCUCUCCUUUAAGGGCCAGGAUAGAGCAGUGGAUUCAUAAAGGUCACAGACUGGUGAGAAGGGUCUGCACAAGCCAGUCAGGUCCGAGUCCGAGCUAUAAAUGCCCUUCCCUAAUCGGGCUCUUUCCCAAAGGUUGAGACUGAUGGCAGUCUCGGCAAACAACUUGAGGGCCUCAGUAUUUUCGUUGUCUCAAGGGUCGCUCCCGAAUAGUGAUGGACCCAAAAACUUUCAGAAGGAAAAAGAGAACAUCAAAAUAGCGAGGACAUGUGGCUUUUGUUAGGGAUACUGUUAAGCAUCCACUCAGGAGGUUCCCCAAACUUUACUGAAACCUAACUUAGCUCAUUCCUCUGUUUUCUCACUCCCGUUUAUGCCCACUUAUGCCUUUUAAGCCCUGGGACAAUUUGUGGACUGUGGAUGGCCACACACCCUCGGAGCCAUGUGAAAGAUAAAAUUGUUAUCCUUGGGCUGGGGGGGGGGGGGGUGAACCAGGAAUUUUGCGAUUUGUGAGAGCUGUUUUCUUAAACGGAAAUUGAGCCCUAUUCUGAGGGAAAUUAGUUUUGCAGACUUUGGUUUAAAAAAAAAAAAAAAAAAAAAAAAAACGAAAACUUUUGUCCACCAGCUGCCUGCCUGCCCUGCUUUUUGGGGCAGUGUUGGUGAGAACAGGGAGCUGUAGACUGCCAGAGACUGACGAUCUUUUCUCCAUUGUGCUGGGCCAGUAUCCAGGGCUGCUGGCAACAAAGGUAUUUAGAAACUAGAGCCAUGAUCCAGAAUUGUUCACCUGGGGCAAAAAGAGACAAGCAGGGGCAUCGUACAGUGGAAGGUCUGAGCCCCUUGGGUGCAAUUAUUCCAGAAAAAGGUGGCUUAUUCUUCAGCAUUUGUAUGGAGAAAAGUGGGAAGGCGGGUCUAGGAAAGGGGUAUCAUGGUGAUGGGACCUGGGGGAACAGGGGCUGAUUAUCCUUAUUUUUUGGGGGGGGUCAUCAGGAGGCUGAGAAGUCAGGAGUGAUUGUAGAUAAGAAGUAUGUCCCAUCCAUGCCCUAAGGUAAGACUCUGCCUGGGUGCUAAUCACAGCUCUGAUGGAAACAACUUAACUCUGAACUUGGGAAAGUUGGAUUGCUUACAGAGUAGAGGAGCCUAUUGAGGGGGGAGAGAAAUAUUUAAGAAAAGGUGGGGAGGGGCUGCAGGGCUCCCAGGUAGGGAUACAAGUAUCCCCAAAUAAAAAAAUGUCCCCCAUGCUUAAAGUUGUUCAUUCUUGCUUUGGAUAUUCCCACUAGCUCUUUUUGUUUGUAUCCUUGGAUGAUGGUUUAGGCUGUGUACUAAGGCUCUGAUUGAGCUAAAAGAGGGGAAAAAAGCCUCAAAGGCAUGUGGUUUUACAUCUGAGGGGGCCCAGAGCCGAACUUGAUCUUUCCAAAAUCAACAGUCAGUUGGCUCCAGGUCCACCUUUUCUGACAGUAGCAGAGAAAUAAUUUAAGUGUUUCAAGAAAAAUGACCAUUCUGGGCCAAACACGUCUCUCUUUUGUGACUCCAUUAUUUCAAAAGCAGGGGCCCUGAGAAUCUGAGAACCAGCAAUACGGAGAAGAUGACAGGAAGAUCAAGGAUGGCGGCUCCUGGAGUCAUGGUGCACCGUGUCCUCCUGCCUGAAAUUUACUCCGAGGAUAUGAAAGGAGUUCCCGAUAUUUUGUGCAAAGGCUAGCCAGACCCCAGCUAUUCCUUCAAGCUCAGGCCACCAAGGCGGUUGGUGUUCCUUUCCAUGUUCUCAAAGGAGACUUCCCCAAUCCAAGGCUUACAUCUAAUCUGCUUUAUGGAUCACCAAUGGGAUGAAUGAAAACUGUAUUUCAGGAGAUGAUAAGGUCCCAUUUGUUCAGCUGCCACCAUUACGAAUUUUCCAAAGAGUUUUAAGGGCCCACAAACUCUCAAAAUAUUGUUCUUAGGAAGAGGGAAUAUUUGAUUCACAUUUGUGCCGACCUCAGAAAUGUGAGGGCCCUUUCCUUUUUUGCAAAGGAAGCGUUUUAUACCAAGACUGACCCCACAGAGAGAGCAAUUCAGGCCAUAAACGUGGGCAAUUUAAAUUAGUCUUUUGGGCGAAAAUCUUUCUCUAUUCCAAGUCACUCAAAAUAUUACCUCAAUGUAACCUGAACCAUUGGGAGUAGCCAGACUUAAACUGGUGUUAUGUUUUCAGUAGUAAAGACUGAUAACUUGAUAGUUCCCUGGGGUUGGAUGCUUAUGGUAGAAGUCCAAAGUUGACAUUGCACGGUAUUUUCCUGUAAAUCCCCAGGGCUGGAUUACAGAUGAGAUAAGUAAAGACGUAUAGAGAACUUCAAUCUGACUAUGGUUCUCUUCAAAUAGAUGGUGACAAUAGCCAACAUCCCAGCAGGCUUCUUCAUUCUCAAAUUAAUAUCAUUUUGUUCCAAAAGUUGGGGGUCAUGAAAACUUGACUGGGAAUGUUUGUUUAAUACUUUUUUUGGGUAGAAAGUAGAUUUAUUCCAUUUUCUGAAUGUCACACUUAGCAAGAGGGGGAAAACCCUUCAUCUUGUUUUGAUUUUUCUAUUCCCUUUUUCUUAUAAGAUUAUCAGGAAGUACAUAAUUUCUGCUCUAAAAGGAACUUAGCUUGAUAUAUUCUGUCUCCUUCUUUAUAUUUUGCAAAGGAUUGAAUUAAAUGAUAGAUAAAUUAAGUGUCUUGUACCAGGUUAAAAAGAAUUAAUAGUAUACAUUGCAGAACCCUGGAGUCCCAAGCCAGAAUUCAGUCCUGAUUGUUUCUGGGUAUAAAACUAUUUUGCUGUAGCAAGCCCCUUGUGUCUGCAGGGCUUGUCAAAGGCCACUUAGGUUGUUGGUUUGUUUUCUCUGCUGUCCUCGAGGAUAUCAACAAUAAUAGCAUUUAUAUGGCUCUUGAAGAUUUGCAAAGUGCUUUGCAGCUAGGAUUUCAUUUGGUCCAAUAAUCCUUAGAAUUAGGUGCUAUUAUUAUCCUCAUUUCACAGAUGAAGAAAUGGAGGCAGGGAAGGGUUAAGUGACUGACCCAAGACCACACAACUAAUGUGAACUUUAAAUAAAGACAUUAAAUCAGCAAUUUCAGAUCUUUCCAUCUGUCUUAAGGCUGAAACCAUAGUGGGUUUUUCCCCACCUCCUAUCCCCAAUGUGUUGUCUCUUCUAUUUUAAUGAGGACUUUUUGAGAGUGGGGGCUGUCUCACUUUUCUAAUUAUAACUCCAGAGAUUAAAAUUGUGCUUUGCACAUAAUAACCACUGAAAUAACAAGGCAUUCAUUCCUUCCAGUGUCUGAGGCAGGAUUAGAAAUCAUCUGCCUAACUCCAGGUUCAGAACUCUUCCCAAUGUAUCACCUACCUGGAGCCAUGAAAAUGAAAACAACAAUAAACACACACACACACACACACACUCACUCACUCACUAACUUACUCACACACAACCCCAAGCCUCUAGCAGCUUUAAGGAUUUCAACCCCAGGAGUAAUCUAGGAUUACUCUGUUACUGGGGUCUGCUAGAGCCAAACGCCUUUCCAAUUCCACAAGAAACUGGCAGAUAUGAUCAUGUGGUACACACUUGUGGAAGGAUAUUCAAAAGGAAUGGAAUAAAGGAAUGCACUGUGUAUGCACCAACCAUUCAUGAAUCUUGUCAAUCAAUAAGUAUCUGUCUCUGUC
Long non-coding RNA from Antechinus flavipes (yellow-footed antechinus), 4231 nucleotides. RefSeq lists it as uncharacterized. The record is from RefSeq and is a predicted model, not a curated record. The transcript is spliced from 3 exons. Lineage: Eukaryota; Metazoa; Chordata; Mammalia; Dasyuromorphia; Dasyuridae.